UCCGUGGUGCCGGGGGGGUUCAGCCCUCAGCUGUUUUCUUUGGAGUAAUGUGGCCCUCACGGCUAUAUGAGUUGUGCAGCCUUGCCCCAGAGGUUUUUAAGG
Molecule: long non-coding RNA, 102 nt
Organism: Gopherus evgoodei (Goodes thornscrub tortoise)
Lineage: Eukaryota; Metazoa; Chordata; Testudines; Testudinidae
Exons: 3
Source: RefSeq, a predicted model, not a curated record